Molecule: non-coding RNA, 26 nt
Filed under: Homo sapiens (human)
Lineage: Eukaryota; Metazoa; Chordata; Mammalia; Primates; Hominidae
Source: RNAcentral
UGAGCUUCCUACGGAGAAAGGUGAUC